AUUGAACGCUGGCGGCAGGCUUAACACAUGCAAGUCGAGCGGAGAUGAGGUGCUUGCACCUUAUCUUAGCGGCGGACGGGUGAGUAAUGCUUAGGAAUCUGCCUAUUAGUGGGGGAUAACAUUCCGAAAGGAAUGCUAAUACCGCAUACGUCCUACGGGAGAAAGCAGGGGAUCUUCGGACCUUGCGCUAAUAGAUGAGCCUAAGUCGGAUUAGCUAGUUGGUGGGGUAAAGGCCUACCAAGGCGACUAUCUGUAGCGGGUCUGAAAGGAUGAUCCGCCACACUGGGACUGAGACACGGCCCACACUCCUACGGGAGGCAGCAGUGGGGAAUAUUGGACAAUGGGGGGAACCCUGAUCCAGCCAUGCCGCGUGUGUGAAGAAGGCCUUAUGGUUGUAAAGCUCUUUAAGCGAGGAGGAGGCUACUGAGACUAAUACUCUUGGAUAGUGGACGUUACUCACAGAAUAAGCACCGGCUAACUCUGUGCCAGCAGCCGCGGUAAUACAGAGGGUGCGAGCGUU
This 520-nucleotide ribosomal RNA is filed under the name uncultured bacterium. Its description in RNAcentral is "bacterial SSU rRNA". It matches the Rfam family "Bacterial small subunit ribosomal RNA", at positions 30 to 542 of the family's 1533-position model. The record is from RNAcentral.